This 790-nucleotide ribosomal RNA is filed under the name uncultured Methanotrichaceae archaeon. Its description in RNAcentral is "bacterial SSU rRNA". It matches the Rfam family "Archaeal small subunit ribosomal RNA", at positions 85 to 879 of the family's 1478-position model. Lineage: Archaea; Methanobacteriati; Methanobacteriota; Methanomicrobia; Methanotrichales; Methanotrichaceae. The record is from RNAcentral.
ACGGCUCAGUAACACGUGGAUAACCUGCCCUGAGGAGGGGGAUAACUCCGGGAAACUGGAGAUAAUACCCCAUAGGCUACCGAAGCUGGAAUGCUCGGUAACCCAAAGCUCCGGCGCCUCAGGAUGGGUCUGCGGCCGAUUAGGUUGUUGUUGGGGUAACGGCCCAACAAGCCUGUAAUCGGUACGGGUUGUGAGAGCAAGAGCCCGGAGAUGGAUUCUGAGACAUGAAUCCAGGCCCUACGGGGCGCAGCAGGCGCGAAAACUUUACAAUGCGAGCAAUCGUGAUAGGGGAACCCCGAGUGCCUGUACACACAGGCUGUUCAGGUGUGUAAAAAACAUCUGGAGAAAGGGCCGGGCAAGACCGGUGCCAGCCGCCGCGGUAAUACCGGCGGCUCGAGUGGUAACCGCUAUUAUUGGGUCUAAAGGGUCUGUAGCCGGCCGGAUAAGUCUCUUGGGAAAUCCAGCUGCUCAACAGUUGGGCUUUCAGGAGAUACUGUUCGGCUCGAGGCCGGGAGAGGUGAGAGGUACUUCAGGGGUAGGGGUGAAAUCUUGUAAUCCUUGAAGGACCACCAGUGGCGAAGGCGUCUCACCAGAACGGUCCUGACGGCAAGGGACGAAAGCUAGGGGCACGAACCGGAUUAGAUACCCGGGUAGUCCUAGCCGUAAACGAUACUCGCUAGGUGUCAGCCACGGUGCGACCGUGGUUGGUGCCGUAGGGAAGCCGUGAAGCGAGCCACCUGGGGAAGUACGGCCGCAAGGCUGAAACUUAAAGGAAUUGGCGGGGGAGCAC